This 602-nucleotide long non-coding RNA is filed under the name Androctonus crassicauda. The record is from RNAcentral. Lineage: Eukaryota; Metazoa; Arthropoda; Arachnida; Scorpiones; Buthidae.
UUAUAGACAAGUGAAGGAGGUGCCUAUUAGUAGCUCGCUGGCAGGGACUUUGGCAGAGCUUAUUAUAAGAGAAAUCGAAACUAAUAAACUGAGUAAUAUUAUCAAGAAGCUAGUUUCUAUCUUAGAUAUAUUGAUGAUAUAUUUAUGAUCUGGCAGGAAGAGGAUAAAAUUAUGCAGAUGUCGAGAGAAUUUACAUUGCCUGCAUAUGGGCUGAAACCGAAUUUGGACCAGGAAACCAAAGAACAUGCGCACUUUUUAGAUGUUGAUAUUGUAGUUAAAGAUGGAUCCUUCUACAUGAAAGUUUAUAAAAAAACCUUCUGGAGCCACAGUAAUUAUCCCGAGCUGGUCAAAUGAUAGAUGGUCCCAUAAAAAGGUGGCUCUCAGAUCCCUCAUAGAGAGAGCGGUAACGCAUUGUAAUACAGUUGAAGCCUAUGAAGAAGAAAUCGAGAACAUAACACAAACAGCAAGAAACCACGGCUAUGAACCAUUUUUAGUUAGAAAGUCAAAGAAAGAGAUAGAAAAUAAAAGAUAUGAAAGAGAAGCUAGAGAGAGAGAAAGAGGAAGUAUAGCAGCCCCAGUACAAAGAAGGAAGGAAGAGGCGU